Molecule: ribosomal RNA, 497 nt
Filed under: uncultured bacterium
Lineage: Bacteria
Description: partial 16S ribosomal RNA
Rfam family: Bacterial small subunit ribosomal RNA
Source: RNAcentral
GAUGAACGCUGGCGGCGUGCCUAAUACAUGCAAGUCGAGCGAACAGACGAGGAGCUUGCUCCUCUGACGUUAGCGGCUGACGGGUGAGUAACACGUGGAUAACCUACCUAUAAGACUUGGAUAACUUCGGGAAACCGGAGCUAAUACCGGAUAAUAUAUUGAACCGCAUGGUUCAAUAGUGAAAGACGGUUUUGCUGUCACUUAUAGAUGGAUCCGCGCCGCAUUAGCUAGUUGGUAAGGUAACGGCUUACCAAGGCAACGAUGCGUAGCCGACCUGAGAGGGUGAUCGGCCACACUGGAACUGAGACACGGUCCAGACCCCUACGGGAGGCAGCAGUAGGGAAUAUUCCGCAAUGGGCGAAAGCCUGACGGAGCAACGCCGCGUGAGUGAUGAAGGUCUUCGGAUCGUAAAACUCUGUUAUUAGGGAAGAACAAAUGUGUAAGUAACUAUGCACGUCUUGACGGUACCUAAUCAGAAAGCAACGGCUAACUACGUG